AGUGAACGCUGGCGGUAGGCCUAACACAUGCAAGUCGAACGGCAGCACAGUAAGAGCUUGCUCUUACGGGUGGCGAGUGGCGGACGGGUGAGGAAUACAUCGGAAUCUACUUUUUCGUGGGGGAUAACGUAGGGAAACUUACGCUAAUACCGCAUACGACCUACGGGUGAAAGCAGGGGAUCUUCGGACCUUGCGCGAUUGAAUGAGCCGAUGUCGGAUUAGCUAGUUGGCGGGGUAAAGGCCCACCAAGGCGACGAUCCGUAGCUGGUCUGAGAGGAUGACCAGCCACCCUGGAACUGAGACACGGUCCAGACUCCUACGGGAGGCAGCAUUGGGGAAUAUUGGACAAUGGGCGCAAGCCUGAUCCAGCCAUACCGCGUGGGUGAAGAAGGCCUUCGGGUUGUAAAGCCCUUUUGUUGGGAAAGAAAAGCAGCAGGUUAAUACCCCGCUGUUCUGACGGUACCCAAAGAAUAAGCACCGGCUAACUUCGUG
RNAcentral lists this ribosomal RNA (492 nucleotides) under uncultured bacterium. Its description in RNAcentral is "partial 16S ribosomal RNA". It matches the Rfam family "Bacterial small subunit ribosomal RNA", at positions 29 to 507 of the family's 1533-position model. The record is from RNAcentral.